AUGGAGUCUCAGUGUCACCCAGGCUGGAGUGCAGUGAUGAGAUCUCAGCUCACUGCAACCUCUGCCUCCCGAGUUCAAGCGAUUCUUCUGCCUCAGCCUCCCAAGUAGCUGGGACUACAGGCAUGUGCCACUAUACCCGGGAUGUGACUUGCUCCGGUUGCCUUCUGCCAUGAUGGUGGCAGCCUCCCCAGCCAUGUGGAACUGGUCUCACUCUGUUGCCCAGGCUGGAGCGCAGUACCACAAUCACAGCUCACUGCAGCCUCGACCUCCCAGGCUCAGGUGAUCCUCCCACCUCAGCCUCCCAAGCAGCCUAGGACUACAG
Molecule: long non-coding RNA, 322 nt
Organism: Pan troglodytes (chimpanzee)
Lineage: Eukaryota; Metazoa; Chordata; Mammalia; Primates; Hominidae
Exons: 3
Source: RefSeq, a predicted model, not a curated record